Non-coding RNA from Oncorhynchus mykiss (rainbow trout), 87 nucleotides. The record is from the annotation of a RefSeq genome assembly. Lineage: Eukaryota; Metazoa; Chordata; Actinopteri; Salmoniformes; Salmonidae.
GAGAAGCUGUGAUGGCCGAGAGGUUAAGGCGUUGGAUUUGAAAUCCAAUGAGGUCUCCCCGCGCAGGUUCGAACCCUGCUCACCUCG